UGGGGAGCAGCAUCCGUUCAUGCUGCUGGACCAGCAGGAAAUGGAGCAAGAGUCAGGAACAAACCUGAAAAACCUCUUCCGGGGCAGUGGACGUAGCCCUGGAAUAAGGAACCUGAAAUUCCCUCCUUCAAUUGAAGACCUCCAGGACUACCAGCGGUACCACGAGGGCAGCUGCCCCACUGCCAAGCAGCUGGAAAAUACACAGUCCAAUGUGUUUGAGGGUCAGGUCUUUAUAUUUUACCUGGCAAAGGGACAGACUGAAUUGUUCAGUUGGCUGUUUUUAAGGAGCAUUGAUGGCAUCCAAAAAUACACAGCCCACCUCCAGUCCGUAGGCAAGACCAUCACAACGGCACUUUCGGGAAACCCUGCCUGCCAUGGAUGUGAUGAGCGUGCUGCGCCCCAUCACAAAGUGCAUCACAGACACAACCAGGACAGUAGUCCUGUACCAGCUGGCAGUGAAGAGCCACAAGAAGGCCAGGAUAAUAUCCUGCGAGGACCUGAAGCGGUGUCAGGAGGGGGCCACACUGAGGAUCCCAGAGCUGCUGGACGCCCUGAAGGAAAACCACACACCGUCGCCAUGGUACCGUCGCCACGGUACCAUUUUUACUGCUACUUUUCGCCUUCACAGCCUCCAUUAUGGUCAUUGCCCGGGGGUACUCAGUAACCUCCGGGUUUGCGAGGUCGAGGAGGCCACAGAGGCGCACAAGCCUGGCGAUGAGGGUUUUGUGAUCUCUAUCAGGGAACACAAGACUAGCAAGUCCUUUGGGGUGGCCCAAAUAUUUUAGACACUGACGAGUUUCGAUGGCUGGAGAGGAGGCUGCAAGCUGCGGGUGGCCAGCAAGCCACCGAACCAGCUGGUGUUCUUCACGGCUGGGAAG
Perca fluviatilis (European perch) is the source of this 878-nucleotide RNA transcript. RefSeq lists it as uncharacterized. NCBI's taxonomy places the organism in Eukaryota, Metazoa, Chordata, Actinopteri, Perciformes, Percidae. The transcript is spliced from 5 exons. The record is from RefSeq and is a predicted model, not a curated record.